GCCUGGGUGGCUCAGUGAGUUAAGCGUCCGACUUCGGCUCAGGUCAUGAUACCAUGGUUCACGGGUUCGAGCCCCGCCUCGGGCU
Non-coding RNA from Felis catus (domestic cat), 85 nucleotides. NCBI's taxonomy places the organism in Eukaryota, Metazoa, Chordata, Mammalia, Carnivora, Felidae. The record is from Rfam.